AACUCUACAAUGCAGGCAACUGCGAUAGGGGAGCAUCGAGUGAUACUCAUAUUGGGUGUCUGUCCUUCCGUCUAAAAAACGGGAGUUAGCAAGGGCCGGGCAAGACCGGUGCCAGCCGCCGCGGUAAUACCGGCGGCUCGAGUGGUGGCCGAUAUUAUUGAGUCUAAAGGGUCCGUAGCCGGCUUGGUAAGUCUCUUGGGAAAUCCGGCGGCUUAACCGUCGGUCGUCCGGGAGAUACUACCUUGCUUGGGACUGGGAGAGGCGUGAGGUACUCAGGGGGUAGGAGUGAAAUCCUGUAAUCCUUUGGGGACCACCGGUGGCGAAGGCGUCACGCCAGAACAGGUCCGACGGUGAGGGACGAAAGCUAGGGGCACGAACCGGAUUAGAUACCCGGGUAGUCCUAGCCGUAAACGAUGCUCGCUAGGUGUCACGACAAUCGUGAAUUGUCGUGGUGCCGUAGGGAAGCCGUGAAGCGAGCCACUUGGGAAGUACGACCGCAAGGUUGAAACUUAA
This 513-nucleotide ribosomal RNA is filed under the name uncultured archaeon. Its description in RNAcentral is "bacterial SSU rRNA". It matches the Rfam family "Archaeal small subunit ribosomal RNA", at positions 346 to 859 of the family's 1478-position model. The record is from RNAcentral.